CCUACGGGAGGGCAGCAGUAGGGAACAUUGCUCAAUGGGGGAAACCCUGAAGCAGCAACGCCGCGUGGAGGAUGAAGGUUUUAGGAUUGUAAACUCCUUUUGGGAGAGAAGAUAAUGACGGUAUCUAACGAAUAAUCACCGGCUAACUCCGUGCCAGCAGCCGCGGUAAUACGGAGGGUGCAAGCGUUACUCGGAAUCACUGGGUGUAAAGAGUGCGCAGGCGGGCUUGUAAGUCAGCUGUGAAAUCCUGUAGCUUAACUACAGAACUGCAUUUGAAACUAUGAGUCUAGAGUGUGGGAGGGGUAGCUGGAAUUCAUGGUGUAGGGGUAAAAUCCGUAGAUAUCAAGAGGAAUACUGAUCGCGAAGGCGAGCUACUGGAACAUUACUGACGCUCAUGCACGAAAGUGUGGGUAGCAAACAGGAUUAGAUACCCUUGUAGUC
Molecule: ribosomal RNA, 441 nt
Filed under: uncultured bacterium
Lineage: Bacteria
Description: partial 16S ribosomal RNA
Rfam family: Bacterial small subunit ribosomal RNA
Source: RNAcentral